Molecule: ribosomal RNA, 392 nt
Filed under: Escherichia coli
Lineage: Bacteria; Pseudomonadati; Pseudomonadota; Gammaproteobacteria; Enterobacterales; Enterobacteriaceae
Also listed under: 1 other name
Description: partial 16S ribosomal RNA
Rfam family: Bacterial small subunit ribosomal RNA
Source: RNAcentral
UUCAGAGAUGAGAAUGUGCCUUCGGGAACCGUGAGACAGGUGCUGCAUGGCUGUCGUCAGCUCGUGUUGUGAAAUGUUGGGUUAAGUCCCGCAACGAGCGCAACCCUUAUCCUUUGUUGCCAGCGGUCCGGCCGGGAACUCAAAGGAGACUGCCAGUGAUAAACUGGAGGAAGGUGGGGAUGACGUCAAGUCAUCAUGGCCCUUACGACCAGGGCUACACACGUGCUACAAUGGCGCAUACAAAGAGAAGCGACCUCGCGAGAGCAAGCGGACCUCAUAAAGUGCGUCGUAGUCCGGAUUGGAGUCUGCAACUCGACUCCAUGAAGUCGGAAUCGCUAGUAAUCGUGGAUCAGAAUGCCACGGUGAAUACGUUCCCGGGCCUUGUACACACC